RNAcentral lists this unclassified non-coding RNA (1227 nucleotides) under Hevea brasiliensis (rubber tree). Lineage: Eukaryota; Viridiplantae; Streptophyta; Magnoliopsida; Malpighiales; Euphorbiaceae. The record is from RNAcentral.
GUGUGACAUUUUAAAUGGAGGACAUGCAGGUACAUUGUACUAAAUAUCAGUUGGUUAUUUAUACAGAGGUUCUGUUGCCACAUUGUUUCUGAUGGUAUGAAUGUCAGUCAUUUGCAUGCUUUUGGUACAAUAGUAUCUCGCACAUUAACCUUUAUAAGAUCUGUUAGAAAUUGAACUUAUAGCUGUUAGUGGGAUGAAUAUGAUGGUCCCUUGUAUUAUUUGGCCUUGUUAAAUACAAAGUCAGUUUGAAACCAAAUCUAGGGAAGAAUGGUUCUUAGAUGUAGUAGAGCUGUGAGCUGUGUUUGAGGAAACUAUUUACUUUGUUGUGGAAAUCAUACAUAGAAAAAAUUCUGGUCUAAUUUUGUGAAAUGCAAAAUGAUAGGGUGAAUGCAAAUUUUUAUGCUGAUCGUCUUUGAACAUGUUUAUAGGACAAGCCAAUUUGGGCCUUCUUGUAUUUGGCACCAAGGCUCAAUUAGACAUAAAAAUAACUUAUUCCUUCACACCGGCUAUACAAUUGCCAAAAGGAAAGAAGCUCUCAAAUGUUGCUCCCGCUCCCUCACUCUAUCUCACGCUCUCUCUCCCUCGCAAAUGGGACUAAGUCCCUCUAUUUACAUGCUUUGGCCACCCCUCAUGAUGGCCAUUGUGUGGCCAAGCUUAAGUUACAAAUAAAAUACUCAUGGGAUGUGAGUGAUGGACAUGAGGAACCGGCUGCCUUUGACACAUCAUUCCAGCCGUAGCACUCCAAGUGGGUAAGGGAGGGAAAUCUUGGCGCCAAGUGUUUUAGUCCCAAGUGGGCAGGCCACUUUAUGCGCCCCACAUGGGCUACACUUCCAACCCUCACGCUGCAUGGCUUGGGCUCAUCUUCCAUGCACGUUGCCUUGGCUCCACUCACCACUUCACAUGCGCCCCACUCAAUUUCCUUGGUCCCCAUGGUGCGCUGUCCACCUUGCAAGGUGUCCCCAAGUGUUGCACUACACCUGGCCACUUUGGCCCUUCAACAUGCACCCAACCUUGCCUUCACGUUGCAUGGCUUGGGUCUCUCUCCAUGCAUGCAAAUGUGCUGGCUCCACUUGGCUUCACACACCACACGGCCCGUGUAUUUUAGGAGUGUUGGUUCCACUUUGGCAAAGCGCACAUGCGCUAUACUUUGGUUGACUUGGGCCAUCAAUGUGCGCCCCACUAUCUUGCUCCAUGUGCUGCCCAUUUAGUGGCUCACAUGCACCACAC